UACGGAGGAUCCAAGCGUUAUCCGGAAUCAUUGGGUUUAAAGGGUCCGUAGGCGGUUUAGUAAGUCAGUGGUGAAAGCCCAUCGCUCAACGGUGGAACGGCCAUUGAUACUGCUAGACUUGAAUUAUUAGGAAGUAACUAGAAUAUGUAGUGUAGCGGUGAAAUGCUUAGAGAUUACAUGGAAUACCAAUUGCGAAGGCAGGUUACGUACUAAUGGAUUGACGCUGUAGUGACGAAAGCGUGGGUAGCGAACAGG
This 255-nucleotide ribosomal RNA is filed under the name uncultured bacterium. RNAcentral describes it as "partial 16S ribosomal RNA". It matches the Rfam family "Bacterial small subunit ribosomal RNA", at positions 524 to 776 of the family's 1533-position model. The record is from RNAcentral.